Suricata suricatta (meerkat) is the source of this 232-nucleotide long non-coding RNA. RefSeq lists it as uncharacterized. The record is from RefSeq and is a predicted model, not a curated record. Lineage: Eukaryota; Metazoa; Chordata; Mammalia; Carnivora; Herpestidae. The transcript has 2 exons.
GGCUUACCUCGGAGGUACCAUGGGUUCCCUUCCAGGCCAGCCCAGGAAAGCGAAGGUCACAUCAAGACAGACAAUCAAUUGAAGACAAUAUGAAAAGGAAAACCAAAAUCAAUGUGAAGAUAACACAAGCAAUCAAAGGAAAGAGGAUUUUACAUUUUAAUAAUCCUUAGUGCUAAUAGAGCAUCCAUUUAUGCACAAUGUAAAUAAAUUAAAUUUCAUUUAGCAAAUCAAA